RNAcentral lists this ribosomal RNA (497 nucleotides) under uncultured bacterium. RNAcentral describes it as "partial 16S ribosomal RNA". It matches the Rfam family "Bacterial small subunit ribosomal RNA", at positions 28 to 507 of the family's 1533-position model. The record is from RNAcentral.
GAUGAACGCUGGCGGCGUGCCUAAUACAUGCAAGUCGAGCGAACGGACGAGGAGCUUGCUCCUCUGACGUUAGCGGCGGACGGGUGAGUAACACGUGGAUAACCUACCUAUAAGACUGGGAUAACUUCGGGAAACCGGAGCUAAUACCGGAUAAUAUAUUGAACCGCAUGGUUCAAUAGUGAAAGACGGUUUUGCUGUCACUUAUAGAUGGAUCCGCGCCGCAUUAGCUAGUUGGUAAGGUAACGGCUUACCAAGGCAACGAUGCGUAGCCGACCUGAGAGGGUGAUCGGCCACACUGGAACUGAGACACGGUCCAGACGCCUACGGGAGGCAGCAGUAGGGAAUCUUCCGCAAUGGGCGAAAGCUUGACGGAGCAACGCCGCGUGAGUGAUGAAGGUCUUCGGAUCGUAAAACUCUGUUAUUAGGGAAGAACAAAUGUGUAAGUAACUAUGCACGUCUUGACGGUACCUAAUCAGAAAGCCACGGCUAACUACGUG